UACCACAUUGGAACUUAAGAAGUCGAUCGAUGGUGGAAGAACCAUCCAACUGCUGGCUUUAAAAUACACAUGUCGAAGACGGGAAAUUAACGGACGGGAAAGAAUUGGCAUAACGAUUGAAUUGGGAAAUGCUGAGUGGCAUUUACGGCAUAAUCACGGAAGAUAGCUGGCCUUAUUGAAUGAAGUUAUAAUAUCUAAUACAACGUAUUUAUAGUUAAAACAAUUCGAAGAAACCUAACCAAGCAAGAAAGUAAAAAGUAAAUAUAAAUAAAUGAUUCUUUUAAGUCUU
Melitaea cinxia (Glanville fritillary) is the source of this 289-nucleotide long non-coding RNA. RefSeq lists it as uncharacterized. The transcript is spliced from 2 exons. The record is from RefSeq and is a predicted model, not a curated record. NCBI's taxonomy places the organism in Eukaryota, Metazoa, Arthropoda, Insecta, Lepidoptera, Nymphalidae.